UUGAUGCCGCGUGAGUGAAGAAGGCCUUUGGGUUGUAAAGCUCUUUUGUAGGGGAAGAUAAUGACUGUACCCUAAGAAUAAGGUCCGGCUAACUUCGUGCCAGCAGCCGCGGUAAUACGAAGGGACCUAGCGUAGUUCGGAAUUACUGGGCGUAAAGCGCGCGUAGGCCGUUGAGUUAGUUAAUUGUGAAAUCCCAAAGCUUAACUUUGGAACUGCAAUUAAAACUGCUCGACUAGAGUUUGAUAGAGGAAAGCGGAAUACAUAGUGUAGAGGCGAAAUUCGUAGAUAUUAUGUAGAACACCAGUUGCGAAGGCGGCUUUCUGGGUCAACACUGACGCUGAGGCGCGAAAGUAUGGGUAGCAAAGAGGAUUAGAUACCCUCGUAGUCCAUACCAUAAACGAUGAUUGCUAGAUGUUGGAAAUUUAUUUUCAGUAUCGCAGCUAACGCAUUAAGCAAUCCGCCUGGGGAGUACGACCGCAAGGUUAAAACUCAAAUGAAUUGACGGGGACCCGCACAAGCGGUGGAGCAUGUGGUUUAAUUCGAAGAUACGCGCAGAANCUUACCAACCCUUGACAUGUCUGUCGCGAGUUUAGGAAACUAGACUUUUCGGUUCGGCCGGACAGAACACAGGUGCUGCAUGG
This 641-nucleotide ribosomal RNA is filed under the name uncultured archaeon. Its description in RNAcentral is "bacterial SSU rRNA". It matches the Rfam family "Bacterial small subunit ribosomal RNA", at positions 391 to 1048 of the family's 1533-position model. The record is from RNAcentral.